RNAcentral lists this long non-coding RNA (2187 nucleotides) under Trifolium pratense (red clover). Its description in RNAcentral is "long non-coding RNA (TPRA_LNC004094)". The record is from RNAcentral. Lineage: Eukaryota; Viridiplantae; Streptophyta; Magnoliopsida; Fabales; Fabaceae.
GUGUAAUUAUUGUAGUUUGAGAUUAAAUUAGAUAGUAGUAUAAUUUAGGAGUUAGUUAUGGGAGAAAAUAAAUAAUUAGAGGUUUUGGACUUAUUUAUGAGAGAAAGAGGUAGAGAGAGAAGUUAAAAAGAAGGGUUUUGGUGAAAGUUGAAGAGAAAGAAGAGAUGAGGAAUGCAAUCUCGUUUUCAACACAGCAGCCUCACAAAAACUUCGAUUCCCGAUUCGUUAACCGUUGGAUUUCCUUGAAAUUUUGAGGGUAGGUUCACAACAUCCGAGACCAACUUUUGACCGUUCGGAUCGUUGAAACAAGGUCUGAGGAGGAAGAAAUCGAGUUCGGAUUGCACCAGAUGUGUUGGGGAGAAAAAGAGGGAAAAAGGCAAGAACAAGGUGGAGCUUCAAGAACCAUUGCCAUCCUCCAUUUUCUUUACAAUCAAAGGUAAGGGAAGUUUAUGUUUUUAAGUAGGAUUGAGUUAUAGAAUAAAGGAGUAGCUAAGCUUCUCUUUCCCAAGUAUUCUAUGAUUCUCCUUAGGAGAGGGUUUUUUGAGAAAACCCAUGAGUAGAGAUUAUGUUUUUAUGCUUUCUCAUUAAUAAUCCAUGUUGUUGUUAUUAGUUAGUAGUGAUUUAUACAAUAAAAAUUCAUGCUUGAACGGUUGAAGUUGUUAUGUUUGAAUAAAUUGAAAGUAUGAAUUUUGAUUGAUAAUUUCAUGAAUUGGUUGUUGUUUUGUUGUUAAUUUAAGUAUGCUGAGUUAGGAUUAAUGAGAACUAANNNNNNNNNNNNNNNNNNNNNNNNNNNNNACAUAUGAAUCCAUUUAUGUGAGUUUUGGGGGUUAUGGGAUACUAUGAUAGUGGGUUAUAGUCAUGGUAAAUUGUGGUGUGAAUCUACUCAAUUUUUGUGAGAUGAUUUGUUUGAGUCGGUGUUUUGUUCGUUAUAUUGAAAAGAUGAUGGUGAUGAAUAUAUGAAUGAAACUAAAUUAAUGUGUUAGUUAAUGUAUUUAAUUGAUAAACUUUAUUUGUGAGUUUGUUGAUGAAGUUUCAUUGACGUGGAUUAUCGAUGAAUUUUAUUCGUGUACUAAAUGAUGAAUUUUAUUGGUGUAUGAAUUCUUUUGGUGUAUUAGUGAUGUGUUCGUGCGUAUGAACAAUGACGGUGUUUCGUGCUUAUGUACAAUGACGAGGUGUGAUUGUUCGUGAAUAUAAAUUGGAUGUUCAAUUUAUUGAUGAUGAUAAAUAAGGAUUUAUCAUGUGUGGGUGUAUUCUAAAGACGAUGAUUUAGAAUAUUUGGAUUAUGUUAAUCCAUAUUAUGUUGAUGUUAUAAUAGAGAUAAAACCAUAUGUUUGGUAUAUGCACAUUCAUGCAUUCAUAAGUUGUGUUUAUUGAUGAGUAUUCUAGAGACGAUGAUCUAGUUUACUGUUGUUUUAGAGACGAUGAUCUAAAACAUUUGGAAUAAGUUUUCCAAAAUUAUGAUGAUGGGUACCACAUGCAUAUAGGUCGUGUCUAGGGAGACAUUGCAUACUUAAUUUCAAUAGAUGAAAUAUUGUGUGACUGAUAAAUUGUUGAUUGAUGUUUGCAUAAUUGCGCACUAAAUGAUAAGUGAUGAUUUGUGGGUGUUAAUUGGUGGAUGCUAAAUGAUGUGUAGUGGUGAGUUGGAUAUUUAGUAAUAUAUCUCCGAUAUUCCAAGNNNNNNNNNNNNNNNNNNNNNNNNNNNNNNNNNNNNNNNNNNNNNNNNNNNNNNAUGAAUUAUUAACGUGAUAUAAUCAUGUUUAUACCUUGUUGUAUAUUUCCUAUUUUUUUUGCUUAUUGCAUAAACUCACCCUGUUUUGUGUUAUGUGUUACGUGUGGACUCUUGGGAGUCCAGGUUUUCCAGGUUGUUGAGUCUCGUGUGCUUGAGUUCUUGAUGAAGCUCCGCUCUGUUUGUGACACGGGAAAGAGUUCAUAGAGUCAUUUACUCUGUCAUUUUAUUUUUAAUUUAAAAUGUUUUCUUUUUAGAAAAGAAAAAUAUUUUUAUUAGUGAUGCUUAUGCUAAUUUAUUUUCAUUAGCAAUGUAUGAAGAAAAAUGUAAUACCUUAAACCAAUAUUUUCAUAAGUUAUUUUGACUCAAAGCCUAUUUAUUAUUUAUAACCGCUACGUAAUUUUGAAAAGCAUUCUUGAAUUAGAGUAACUUUUGAAUAUUGGGUUUAGGGCGUUACAAUU